This 208-nucleotide long non-coding RNA is filed under the name Elaeis guineensis (African oil palm). Its description in RNAcentral is "long non-coding RNA (EGUI_LNC068133)". The record is from RNAcentral. Lineage: Eukaryota; Viridiplantae; Streptophyta; Magnoliopsida; Arecales; Arecaceae.
UGCCUGAACUUAUCCCUGUGCGAAGAUCAAAAAACCACCACCUCUCUGCAUGCCAUAUACUAUCUAAGACACCGAUCCGGAGUAACAUUUAAAGGUGCUUUAAUUCUAGAUUCACAAAGUUCUACCAUGGAUUGGGAUCGCAACCGCCUGCAGCAACUUAACUUCUCUAAGGUCAAAUCGAGCGAUCAUCUGAGCUAAAUCUUUAUAG